UGAUAAUAUUUUAAACGAUGCCCAAAGUGUGCAACAUACGUCAAAGUUCAAGGUGUGUUAUAUGUACGUAUAAUCAGCGGUUGUUAUUUUUUUUUGACCCUAUACGUGGUGUUAACUAGAAAAACUCAUCAGACAGGACGUCGUGGGUGGAAAAUUCGGAAUGAUUUGUUUUUCUUCCCUAUUUUGUACAAUACCACUGCAUCCGAAUACGUGCUAUUAUACUACUUAGUAGUACAGCCUUUGAUGCCUUUUAAAGUUUGAACUUUUGUUUUAUAGUGGUCAAUUGCAUCACCAUU
Non-coding RNA from Cinara cedri, 296 nucleotides. The record is from the annotation of a GenBank genome assembly. Lineage: Eukaryota; Metazoa; Arthropoda; Insecta; Hemiptera; Aphididae.